GGGGAUGACGUCAAGUCCUCAUGGCCUUUAUGACCAGGGCUACACACGUACUACAAUGGCAGGUACAAAGGGCAGCCACUUAGCGAUAAGGCGCGAAUCCCAUAAAACCUGUCUCAGUCCGGAUUGGAGUCUGCAACUCGACUCCAUGAAGUUGGAAUCGCUAGUAAUCGCAGAUCAGCACGCUGCGGUGAAUACGUUCCCGGGCCUU
This 208-nucleotide ribosomal RNA is filed under the name uncultured Desulfocapsa sp. RNAcentral's name for it is "partial 16S ribosomal RNA". It matches the Rfam family "Bacterial small subunit ribosomal RNA", at positions 1175 to 1382 of the family's 1533-position model. Lineage: Bacteria; Pseudomonadati; Thermodesulfobacteriota; Desulfobulbia; Desulfobulbales; Desulfocapsaceae. The record is from RNAcentral.